AGUGAACGCUGGCGGUAGGCCUAACACAUGCCAGUCGAACGGCAGCACAGUAAGAGCUUGCUCUUACGGGUGGCGAGUGGCGGACGGGUGAGGAAUACAUCGGAAUCUACUUUUUCGUGGGGGAUAACGUAGGGAAACUUACGCUAAUACCGCAUACGACCUACGGGUGAAAGCAGGGGAUCUUCGGACCUUGCGCGAUUGAAUGAGCCGAUGUCGGAUUAGCUAGUUGGCGGGGUAAAGGCCCACCAAGGCGACGAUCCGUAGCUGGUCUGAGAGGAUGAUCAGCCACACUGGAACUGAGACACGGUCCAGACUCCUACGGGAGGCAGCAGGGGGGAAUAUUGGACAAUGGGCGCAAGCCUGAUCCAGCCAUACCGCGUGGGUGAAGAAGGCCUUCGGGUUGUAAAGCCCUUUUGUUGGGAAAGAAAAGCAGCAGGUUAAUACCCCGCUGUUCUGACGGUACCCAAAGAAUAAGCACCGGCUAACUUCGUG
RNAcentral lists this ribosomal RNA (492 nucleotides) under uncultured bacterium. Its description in RNAcentral is "partial 16S ribosomal RNA". It matches the Rfam family "Bacterial small subunit ribosomal RNA", at positions 29 to 507 of the family's 1533-position model. The record is from RNAcentral.